Molecule: long non-coding RNA, 1426 nt
Filed under: Neogobius melanostomus (round goby)
Lineage: Eukaryota; Metazoa; Chordata; Actinopteri; Gobiiformes; Gobiidae
Description: lncRNA (ENSNMLG00000001580.1)
Source: RNAcentral
UUUCAUACUGAGACCACUGAUGUUAUUAGCAUUUAGCCUCUCCUCCAGGUAAGGGUUUAAAGGAGUUUACUUGUCCCUCUAGUAAAAUCCUAAAUCAGUAAAAAUGAUGGAUUAUUGUCCAAUGACACAAUAGACAUUUACAUUUAUUUGCCCAAGACUCUGUCAUAUGGUGUCUUUAUACAAAACUAUUGUGUUUCUUGUAAUUGGUUUAGCACAUGACAAUAAAUAAAUAAAUAAGAACAAUGAACAUCUCUUAUCUCUCCAUCACUCUCUAUGCUUAGUCAAUAAUAUAAAACCUUUUCCUGAUUGAAUUUAAUCCCCCUUUUGUUUUUAGAUGAAAUUCCUGUAAGUGCAGAUGAGGCUGAAGAGGAGAGUCACAGUGAGUCAGGGGACUCUGCUGAGAAACAAUCUGAUAAAGAUGAGUCUCAGUCUACAAAUUAUGAAAACAUAGUUGGAGAAAAUGUGGUUAUAGAUGAUGACACAAUGGACAUAACUGAUGGAGAUACCUUUGAUUUUGAAGAUCCAGCAAAGAGGCCUGCAAAGAAACCUGCACCAAAACACAGCAUCACUGAUGCAGAUGCCACUGAUUUUGAAGAGGCAGCAAAGAGGCCUGCAAAGCAACCUGGACCAAAACGCAGAGUAAAAAAAAGAGCAUGGUCAAAGACUGAAGAAGCAGCUGUAAUGCGGCAUUUUUAAAAAACACAUCAAGAAAGGAAAACUGGCCACAAAAAAUGAAGUAACUCAGUGUAAACAAGCAGAAAUUGCCUUAAGUCAGAGAACACUGCAGAAUAUAAGAGACUUUGUGAGAAAUCGUGGACUAGCAUGUAAAAGACAACUAAAUGUAAAAGAUUGAUAAGCAUUGUCUGAAAUGGAAGCUGGAAGUAUUUUUUUAAAGUUUUGGUUCAAUUGGAUAGUGUUGAAGUUUGCAGUUCUUUUUUUUAUUUUUAUUUUUUUUACUUGCUAUUCAAGGCUCUGUGUAUCAGGUGAUCCCUGUAGGGUGGUAAAUUCCUAGAACCCAGACAUAGCCAAAGUACAACCCAAAGUUCACGUAGGGUUUUCAGAGAUGGAUUCCAUACACCUUUGCUCUGACGGUGAUGAUCUUUCCAUCAAGACCCAAAUAUUUCGACGCCUAACACCCUGUUGCUAAUUAGACAGUUAUAACAAAAGGCUGCUGUUUUCGCUGUGUAGACCAGUCCAUCGCACUCAGCUCUCAUACAUGGCUUAGUGGCUCACUGCACAGAGAAUGGGUGUAUGUUUUAAAGAAAUAGUUCAGGAUUUUUGACAGAGGGCCUAAUUUCCAACUUAUCCAGAGUGUUGGUGAUGUCUGGAGAUGUUUUUUUUUUUUUUUUUUUUGUGUGUGUGCAAUUUUUAUAUUUUAAGAGCUUAAUGAUGCUCUGCUAAUGCUAGCCUAGCGCAUGUUUACCGU